Long non-coding RNA from Cyprinus carpio carpio, 729 nucleotides. The record is from Ensembl. Lineage: Eukaryota; Metazoa; Chordata; Actinopteri; Cypriniformes; Cyprinidae.
GUUGACGGAGUAAGAGCGUAAAUCUGAUGCUGUAUUGCACGCUACAGAGAUUCGUCACCAAAAUUGCACCUGUUAGACUACCACACCUUACUUUACAAACGUCAACACACCUUAUAUUUACUGGCCCAAGUUUUGUCGUGUCAGUCUGUUAACUUUGAACGAAAACGCAUCACAGAAGCAUCGCAAGGACUAUUGUAAGGGAUAUUGUUCGUUAGGCUAUUCAUGGUUAUGACUUUGAAGAGCGGGAGAAGGAGUUUUUUUCUUUCUAAGCAGGAUGGCACUAGGAAAAUUUUAUUCACCCUAUUGGGUUUGUGGUGUGCUGUUCAUUCUACAACUAGAGUUGGCGCUUCAACAACAGAGUCUACAACUUCAGGAUAUACAGCUUCAGAAAUCACAACUGUACUUUCCACUCCAACCUCAGCAACAUCAGACCCGGCCACAUCUGAUUCUACAGGAACAACAACGGUUAUAUCUUCAGAAACACUUGCUUCAACAACCAUGCCUACAUCUUCAGAAACGACAGCUGCAGUUGAAACCACAAAUACUGCAUCCACAACCACAACUGAGCCUUCCACUACUAAAGAUGUGACAACGAUAUCACUUGAAUUCACAACAACUGAACUCACUACAACUUCAGAGAAAACAACAGCAGAAACCACAACUACAGCUUCAUCAACCACACCUAUAACAACAAACGAUCCAACAACAUCAACAGCUGUAACUUCAGAA